UACGUAGGGGGCAAGCGUUGUCCGGAUUUAUUGGGCGUAAAGAGCGUGUAGGCGGCCAUGCAGGUCCGCUGUGAAAUCUCCAGGCUCAACCUGGGGGGGUCAUUCGAUACUGCCGUGACUAGAGGUCGGUAGGGGAGUGUGGAAUUCCUGGUGGAGCGGUGAAAUGCGCAGAUAUCAGGAGGAACACCCGUAGCGAAGGCGGCACUCUGGGCCGAUACUGACACUGAGGAGCGAAAGCGUGGGGAGCGAACAGG
This 254-nucleotide ribosomal RNA is filed under the name uncultured bacterium. RNAcentral describes it as "partial 16S ribosomal RNA". It matches the Rfam family "Bacterial small subunit ribosomal RNA", at positions 524 to 776 of the family's 1533-position model. The record is from RNAcentral.